RNAcentral lists this ribosomal RNA (449 nucleotides) under uncultured bacterium. RNAcentral describes it as "partial 16S ribosomal RNA". It matches the Rfam family "Bacterial small subunit ribosomal RNA", at positions 329 to 794 of the family's 1533-position model. The record is from RNAcentral.
UUCCAGACUCCUACGGGAGGCAGCAGUGGGGAAUAUUGCACAAUGGGGGAAACCCUGAUGCAGCAACGCCGCGUGAGUGAAGAAGUAUUUCGGUAUGUAAAGCUCUAUCAGCAGGGAAGAAGAAAGACGGUACCUGACUAAGAAGCCCCGGCUAACUACGUGCCAGCAGCCGCGGUAAUACGUAGGGGGCAAGCGUUAUCCGGAUUUACUGGGUGUAAAGGGAGCGUAGACGGCAUAGCAAGUCUGAAGUGAAAGCCCGGGGCCCAACCCCGGGACUGCUCUGGAAACUGCGGCGCUGGAGUACGGGAGGGGCAGGCGGAAUUCCUGGUGUAGCGGUGAAAUGCGUAGAUAUCAGGAGGAACACCGGCGGCGAAGGCGGCCUGCUGGACCGUGACUGACGUUGAGGCUCGAAAGCGUGGGGAGCAAACAGGAUUAGAUACCCCAGUAGC